CAUCGAUCACAACUAAUAGGGAUCAUUCGUAAUAUUUCUUCCUGUAGACGUCGCUGGUGUUCCAUAAGUGGUUGUCGGAAACGUUUUAAUCACUUGGACGCUUGAAUCGCAUUACGUUGCACAUGUUUACAUUAGUAACCACAAAUUAUCGACACUCGCUAAUUUCAACAACCUAAGCUUCAAAAUUGUUGUGUCCCCGGCUGCAAUUAUUCUGAAGGGGGACCACAGAUUCCCAAAAGACAAUGAAAUUCUUUUGAAAUGGAGAGAAGGCAUCAAGAGAGUUGAUCCACCCAUCAAAAAUAUCUAGCCUUCUAGGGAAACCCGGCGGAAAAGUCGACCAAGUUUGCCAUAACCAGCUGAUAACCAUGUCAUGCCAGGAGAUUAUAUAACAACAGGAUUAGAAGCCAUCAUGGAUAACAGACUUUUUACCCAACCAUGAAGUGAUGGAUGGGAUACAUCUUUAUGUUUGAAAUGAAUUCAUGGUUAAAAUCAAAGUGGCUGCAAGUGCGAGGAUCAAUACUUCUGUCAGAUCCAGGUGUAAAAAAAAAUUUGACAAAGGUGACAACAAAUGGCAAAUAGUGGAAUUAUGGAACAGGAUUUAUUUACUAGCCAAGACAGUUCCAUCCUUAUAUUAACACACAAACUUUUCUGAAAGGGAAAUUCCAACUAGAUCAGAAGAAAGUAGUUUGUGAUAGAAAAGUGUCAUCCAACCGAAUUCACAUUAAAAGAGUCCUUGUAUUGUCUAAAAGUUACACAAGGGUAAAACUUAAUGCCCCUCCUUCGCUGUGGCAGGGGAAUAAAAAAUCUGAAACAUGUAAUUCCACGUGGAAACUUCUAAUUCAACUUGGUUCCAGAAUUAUCUAUGUUUGCUGUGUUCUUUCUAAUCUCAUAAAAAUACAUUGUAAAUAAAUAUGCAUAAAAGAUGAAAUGGAUUUACAUGCAA
Long non-coding RNA from Mytilus californianus (California mussel), 943 nucleotides. RefSeq lists it as uncharacterized. The transcript has 2 exons. The record is from RefSeq and is a predicted model, not a curated record. Lineage: Eukaryota; Metazoa; Mollusca; Bivalvia; Mytilida; Mytilidae.